Molecule: long non-coding RNA, 1674 nt
Organism: Helianthus annuus (common sunflower)
Lineage: Eukaryota; Viridiplantae; Streptophyta; Magnoliopsida; Asterales; Asteraceae
Exons: 3
Source: RefSeq, a predicted model, not a curated record
AUUGUCACUGAUGUGUUAUUCGGUGGGUUUGCUUUGGUUUAAAGCUUAUUUUCAACUCACAAAUGCACAGAUCUCUCUCUGUUGAAAUAAUAUUCUCAUACACUUUUAUUAAACAUCAUUUUAUUAUAUUUUACUGAAUAAUUGUUUUUGUUUGUUUUGGUUGAGGAAUACAACUUGGGCUUAAAUAAAGACUUGGCUAAAAUAAAGACUUGCUGUUGGGAUUAAAGACUUUGCUGGUGGGCUUGAAGACUGUUACUGUUGGGCUUGAAGACUGUUGACUGCUUGAAGAGUGUUGACUGUUUUUUAAAGGCUGUAUAUACAGCUCUUGAUAAACAACCCUCACACUCACUGUAAGGUUAGGCAACUUCAAAGUUUCCAGAAUCAUCUCUCUCUCUCUCUCUCUCCUCGUUUCUUUCCUUCUCUCUCUUAGGGUUUGUUAAAUCUUGUUAUUCUUGUGAUCUUGUGUUAAGAUCAUUGUUCGUAGAAUAGAUCAGAGAUUGCAGAUCAUCGUGUUGAUGAUCUGCGUGUGAGUUGAGAGGUCUUUUCAGUUUAGUUUCUUGUUCUUUUGUUCAAAGCUGUUGUACAGUGAAACCAUAGAAACACAUGUAUGUGUGAAUGUUGAAGAAAGCAAAAAGCAAAUUAGAUGGAAUUGCGCACUUGAUAACGGAGUGGGCUAGUGGCGUGGAUAAUAGAUGACUGUAGUUGGCCUUGUAAGGAGAUUGAGCUAGCGCAAGUUCCCGCCAAACAUGAUGAGUUAAGUCACAACAGGGUCAGUUACCCAGUCUUACAUUUGUGCUACUUUACAUUAUUCUAUUGGAAUUAUAUCUUUUUUAUUAUCAUUUAUAUAUUGAUUAACAGUUAAUAACAGCCACUCCUUUGUGUACUAACCCACACCCCAUGUUCAAUAUAAUAAAAAUAGGUGCAACUUUUUUAUAAAAAUUACCAUAUAUAUGUAUAUAUAUUUGUUUUUCUAGAAUCCUUUUUCAACUUUUUUUAUAAAAACUACCAUAUAUAUGUAUAUAUAUUUGUUUUUUAGAAUCCUUUUUCAAUAUAAAAAAUAGGUACAGGAAUGAAAGCUACUUGAAUUUAAGUUUACCAGCUUGGGUUGUUUUGACUCUUUAACAGAUUUUCGAUCUUGCAUGAAAGAAAACUAAUUAGAUGUUUGGAUAUAACUUUUAAAAUGUGUAACUGUGAAGAAAAGAUAAAAGGAGCAAACCUUCAUUUCUGAAUGAUCAUGUCUUCCAGGCGUUUGAAUCGUGGUGAUCUGCUCGUUGACAUGCACAUUGGUUCAGCGUUCUACAUUUGUAUGUCGGCUCCAUCUUAGAUAAUAAAAAAAGUUAAAAACAAAUUCUAAGCUACCACUUUAGAUGUAAAAAAAAAAAAGAAAAAGAAACAUUAUGCACUUUAAGGAUUUACAACAAAACUUACAUUCUGUAGUGUUUUUUUAUCAGUAUCUUCACACGAUUUUGCUUGCAGGUCUGAAACAAAAGAAGUAACUACGGGUUUGUGUGUCUUGAGAGGACAAGGAGGCUAUUCUUGGCAGGAGGUUCUUCACACAAUUUAUAGCUUUUAAUUGAGUUUUGUAUUUAUUUUGAUAUGGUUUCAAAAGAUAGAACGUGGGUCUUGUAGUUUUUUUUUUUUUUUUUUUUUUUUUUUUGGUAAUUAAUGUGUUUU